CUCUCCUCCACUCCUCUCCUCUCUCUUCUUCUUUUCCCUCUUUCUCGCGCUUUCAAUAAGGCAACCUUGAAGAAGUCCAUGUAGUGAGAGUGGAGGUGCCUUUACCUCAGGCCAUCAGGAUUUGAGGUUCUCAGCCCAGUAGUCUAGGAAGAGUUGAAACUAACCAACAACUCUGCUGGUGACCUUGUAGCAGACCAUCCCAUGGUGCACCUCCAGAUACAGCUGCACUCCGGAUCAUCAUCUUGGCUGCACCCUACUAACAGUCCUUCAGUCAGAGACUUGAAGUUUAGCUACACUCUGAUUCUGAGAGCUAACACAAGCUUAUUGUUCAAGCCUCUAAAUUUUGGGCAAUUUUUAAAUGCAGAAAUAGAAAAUUCAUGCACAUGUGCAAUUAACUGCCAAGCGAAGUCAUCUUUGGAUACUCUAAUCAUACUAACAUUUGGGGACAAUCCUAGAAUACUGGAGCUAUCAUUUAGUCAAGAAGAAUUUUGGAAUUUGAAAAGGAAGAUGUAUGAACAGCAUUGGCCAAUCUGACCUGAGCCAAAUCUUCAACAUCAAAGCGUUUUGAUGGGCAACAUGUGUUUUGUACGUGUGCUUAAAAUGAAACUCGAGAGGUCCAUGCCUCGAGGCAACAAGACUCCAGAAGUGACAAAGCAGUACCAUUUGAUUUUGAAUAGGAUCCAUUAUACUUUCUAGGAUGCCUUUAUAUAAACAAUCACACACAAAUCCUGGAAGACGGCGAGCCCCAUAGAGUCCUUUUCCUCAACUGGAUGCCACGACACCCCGCUUUCAUGUCGUAUCCCGCACAGAGUCACCCUUAAAGGUAUCUGGAGCCAGACCUCUCUAGACCGUGCCCUGUGCACACAAGAACACUCCAGGCUCUUCAAAACAGCGAGAAGUGACUCCGCUGAGUUCCGAGAAUAUUUUGAUACGCUGCUUUCUGAAAACAUCCAAACUUACCACCCAUGGAUUUAGAGCCUAGUAAAACACACUGCUCAUUAAAACAUGCUGGUGUCCCCUUUUGUCCCUCGGAUGACUCAGAAGGCACUUGAGUUCCUCCGGGCCAGCACCACAGACAGUGCUGAAAAGAAAAUGCUCGCUUGAAAUCUCCGGACUUUGACUCAGCAGAAUAUCCGAGAGGAGUCUCGGUGAGGGUCCAGUGAUGACGGUGUGCCAGAGGCCUUGAAACAGACCAGCGACUCAUUGCAAUGAACAUUUUGCAGCCGUGGCUCAUUGGACAAAAGGGUGUCCUGUGUGACACACCGCAGCUCCCGAUGCCACUAGGAUGAAUGAAGAGGUGUGGGGAAG
This is a long non-coding RNA of Peromyscus eremicus (cactus mouse), 1308 nucleotides long. RefSeq lists it as uncharacterized. The transcript is spliced from 3 exons. The record is from RefSeq and is a predicted model, not a curated record. NCBI's taxonomy places the organism in Eukaryota, Metazoa, Chordata, Mammalia, Rodentia, Cricetidae.